RNAcentral lists this small nucleolar RNA (209 nucleotides) under Sinocyclocheilus anshuiensis. RNAcentral describes it as "Small nucleolar RNA U3 (ENSSANG00000012531.1)". It matches the Rfam family "Small nucleolar RNA U3". From Rfam's summary of the family: Small nucleolar RNAs (snoRNAs) are involved in the processing and modification of rRNA in the nucleolus. There are two main classes of snoRNAs: the box C/D class, and the box H/ACA class. Lineage: Eukaryota; Metazoa; Chordata; Actinopteri; Cypriniformes; Cyprinidae. The record is from Rfam by way of RNAcentral.
AAGACUGUAUUUUCAGGAAUCAUGUCUAUAGUUCUUUACUUGGAAAUGUGUUUUGAAAGUGUAUGUCUCCCAACCCAUUAUGAUGAGCUAUAAUGCUCUUUUCUGAGAGUGAAUCAAGAGCAGAACUGUGACUUUAAACACAAUCUGUCAUUGACGAGCAUUCAUAUUGUUUCUGGCAAUAUUGGUAAAGGGAGUAUGAUCUGAGUGGU